AGUCGAGGGGCAGCAUGAACUUAGCUUGCUAAGUUUGAUGGCGACCGGCUCACGGGUGAGUAACACGUAUCCAACCUGCCGAUGACUCGGGGAUAGCCUUUCGAAAGAAAGAUUAAUACCCGAUGGCAUAGUUCUUCCGCAUGGUAGGACUAUUAAAGAAUUUCGGUCAUCGAUGGGGAUGCGUUCCAUUAGCUUGUUGGCGGGGUAACGGCCCACCAAGGCAUCGAUGGAUAGGGGUUCUGAGAGGAAGGUCCCCCACAUUGGAACUGAGACACGGUCCAAACUCCUACGGGAGGCAGCAGUGAGGAAUAUUGGUCAAUGGGCGCUAGCCUGAACCAGCCAAGUAGCGUGAAGGAUGACUGCCCUAUGGGUUGUAAACUUCUUUUAUAUGGGAAUAAAGUGCAGUAUGUAUACUGCUUUGCAUGUACCUUAUGAAUAAGGAUCGGCUAACUCCGUGCCAGCAGCCGCGGUAAUACGGAGGAUCCGAGCGUUAUCCGGAUUUAUUGGGUUUAAAGGGAGCGUAGGCGGGUUGUUAAGUCAGUUGUGAAAGUUUGCGGCUCAACCGUAAAAUUGCAGUUGAUACUGGCAUCCUUGAGUACAGUAGAGGUAGGCGGAAUUCGUGGUGUAGCGGUGAAAUGCUUAGAUAUCACGAAGAACUCCGAUUGCGAAGGCAGCCUGCUGGACUGUAACUGACGCUGAUGCUCGAAAGUGUGGGUAUCAAACAGGAUUAGAUACCCUGGUAGUCCACACAGUAAACGAUGAAUACUCGCUGUUUG
Molecule: ribosomal RNA, 776 nt
Filed under: uncultured bacterium
Lineage: Bacteria
Description: bacterial SSU rRNA
Rfam family: Bacterial small subunit ribosomal RNA
Source: RNAcentral